This is a long non-coding RNA of Gopherus flavomarginatus (Mexican gopher tortoise), 728 nucleotides long. RefSeq lists it as uncharacterized. NCBI's taxonomy places the organism in Eukaryota, Metazoa, Chordata, Testudines, Testudinidae. The transcript has 2 exons. The record is from RefSeq and is a predicted model, not a curated record.
GCCAUUGAUCUGUACCAUGGCUUUCCAAUAUUGGCAGGAUUCUUCUCCGUCCUAUCCCUUAGGCAGCCUAACAUCUUGUUUGCUUUUCUGGCUGUGGCUGCACCUUGAGGAGAAGUCUUCACGGAGCUGCACAGAGCUGCUAUCGGAGAGAUUAGUUAAUUUAUGACCCAGCAACGUCUCUGAGUAAAUCAGGCUACUCUUUCCAAUGUGCUUUCCCUUGCAUUGGUCUGCUGCCUGCUGACAGAAUGCUCGGUGGCAGAGAUGACAAUUCCCUGCAGUGUGCUUGGGAGGCCUUACUGAGGUCACAACUGAGAAUACCAAAUUCAGGACAAACUGCUGAGAAAGAGGGCAGACACCCCCCAAAGCUGGUGGUUAUUUUCCGAGAUGAUAUACCAAACCAGCAACACAAGUAAACUUCUGUCUCACCACACUGGCUAACAAGAAAUCAGAACUGCAGCCUCCUUGGGUAGUCCAGUCCUGGAUUCAACACCCAGACACUCAUAAUGAUGAGUGGUUAUUUAAAACCAAUUUCAUCAGCCAAAGGAUUCUUCUGAUCCCAAAGGACCGGCCACAUACCCAGGCCAAUGUAUAAUUCAGAUCUUGCCCAAUAAUCAUGCUGUUGCCACUCCUUUAGUAUCUGUUAUCUAAAGAUUUAAUUAUAAAAAGAAAGAUGAGAAUUAAAAUUGGUUAAAGGCUCAAAUUCACACAAUAAAUGCAACGUUCUUGGA